This is a long non-coding RNA of Lagopus leucura (white-tailed ptarmigan), 359 nucleotides long. RefSeq lists it as uncharacterized. The transcript has 3 exons. The record is from RefSeq and is a predicted model, not a curated record. NCBI's taxonomy places the organism in Eukaryota, Metazoa, Chordata, Aves, Galliformes, Phasianidae.
GCACGAGAUACAAUACUGGGCAUUUAAAGGGAUAAUGAUCAGAGUCCACAAACACAGCGAACACAGCACUAUGCAGCCACUUCAGAACUUUGAACUGCUGGAUUUGCUUUGCUGUUGCUGUCUACUUGGCGUUGAGCAGGAGGCUGGGAGAAGUUUGGCGUUGUCAUAAAUGUCUCCAACGACCAUGGCAGUUAAAUGAUCCACCAGAAGUUGUCAUCUCUUUAAAAGCCCUAAAUCCUAGUCUAGGUCAGUUUCAGCAAGAGCCAGUCUGAGCAAACCUGAGGAUCUUAGAAGAUUUUCAAAGAAUGCUUCAUUGAGUCCCAUGAGGAAUCUUAAGUGAGUGGUGCUAUGACAGUGGU